CCCAUUCAUUUUCAAUGGAAGCGGUGAGAAGCGCACAGGGCGGAAACCUUUGGGCGGCGGUGAAAAAUAUAAACUUUUCCCAAAUUUAUGCAAAUCACUAGCGGCGACUGCUGGGCGAUGGCCAAUCAUAUCGAGUGGUUCCCAUGACGAAUUUCAUGCUAUACAACCCACGGCUGGAGACUUUCUUCAGCAAAGAUGGCUGACAAAAAUACUAGGAUGGAAGCAAAUGGAUUCCUGAAACAACCAGCAAACCAGGCUGUCGUCUUGUGAAACCGUGGAUGUAAAGAAUCUAGCUAAAGCAUUUACUGCAAAUUGAAUGUACAAUUUUGUAAGCUUGCCUUGCUGAUAUUUGCUAUGCAGCUGAAGUAAUGUAGGUAGCUAACUAUUUUCUUGCUUGUUGUGCAGUGGAGGAUAAACAUACCUGUAUGCCUAUGGAUGUGUAGCUAGCUAUGUAGCCGAUCUGUGGAUGGACCCUGAAACGUUUUGUAUAAAUAUUAGUUCAGAACUUAGCUAUGAACCUCAGCUAUCAUAGCCGGUUGUAUCAACUUCAAAACAGUCUGAAUGACAUUAAUGAAGGCUAUGGAUUGAGUAUAAUAUAACUUUGUACCAAGGAUGCAAGUCGUAUAUACAUGUAGUUAUUACCAUGCAUGAGAUCCCCACAUUGUAACCUAUACAUUUAAUAUAUUCACUGAUCAUGUACUCUACCUUGGCAAAUAAAGGUGCAGUUCAGGUA
Coregonus clupeaformis (lake whitefish) is the source of this 733-nucleotide long non-coding RNA. RefSeq lists it as uncharacterized. Lineage: Eukaryota; Metazoa; Chordata; Actinopteri; Salmoniformes; Salmonidae. The transcript is spliced from 2 exons. The record is from RefSeq and is a predicted model, not a curated record.